GUGUCAGCAGCCGCGGUAAGACGAAGGGGGCGAGCGUUGCUCGGAAUCACUGGGCUUAAAGCGGGCGUAGGCCGCUCGGUCAGUCGGAUGUGAAAGCCCUCGGCUCAACCGAGGAAUGGCGUUCGAUACUGCCGGGCUUGAGGGACUCAGGGGCGAGUGGAACUCUCGGUGGAGCGGUGAAAUGCGUAGAUAUCGAGAGGAACGCCGAUGGCGAAGGCAGCUCGCUGGGGGUUUCCUGACGCUGAGGUCCGAAAGCCAGGGGAGCGAACGGGAUUAGAUACCCCGGUAGUCCUGGCCCUAAACGAUGCGCACUAGGUGGGGGAGGCUCUGACGGCCAUCCCUGCUGCAGGGAAACCGGUAAGUGCGCCGCCUGGGGAGUACGGUCGCAAGGCUAAAACUUAAAUGAAUUGGCGGGG
RNAcentral lists this ribosomal RNA (416 nucleotides) under uncultured prokaryote. RNAcentral's name for it is "bacterial SSU rRNA". It matches the Rfam family "Bacterial small subunit ribosomal RNA", at positions 505 to 918 of the family's 1533-position model. The record is from RNAcentral.